CACACACACACACACACACACACACACAUACACACCAGGCCAUGAUUGAAAACAGGCCAAACUUCCAAGGUAAACAGAAUCCCUUUACCACAGAGCUUACCCUGAGGUCUCAUGGCUCUGAGAGGUACACUUAAACCAGGAGACAACACAGAAGCAAGAUCCAGCUCUGGGAAUUGAUGGACUUUUUUCCCUCUCUGCAUCCCUGCACCUCCUGGGAGGAGAGGCAUUGGACCCCAGAGUUGGCACCUAUAUCCAGAUUCCACGAAGAAGGAAGGGCAGGGGCCAGCUGGGACCGAGAAGAGCAAAGCAGACUCGGCAGCCUAAAGAAGCAGGCCUUUCCAAGCACAGCCAGCCAGCCCCAGACAGUGUUCUAACGUGGCCUGCCUACAGGGACAUAGCAGCAAGGCAUCUUCUUGGAAGCUGAGAGCAGCCUUCAGCAGACAUCGAAACUGCCGGCCCCUUAUCUUGGACUCCUCAGCCUCCAGAACUGUGAGAACAUGCAUUUCUGUUCUUGAAAACUUA
Molecule: long non-coding RNA, 522 nt
Organism: Tupaia belangeri chinensis (Chinese tree shrew)
Lineage: Eukaryota; Metazoa; Chordata; Mammalia; Scandentia; Tupaiidae
Exons: 2
Source: RefSeq, a predicted model, not a curated record